This 420-nucleotide ribosomal RNA is filed under the name uncultured bacterium. RNAcentral describes it as "bacterial SSU rRNA". It matches the Rfam family "Bacterial small subunit ribosomal RNA", at positions 355 to 773 of the family's 1533-position model. The record is from RNAcentral.
UAAGGAAUAUUGGUCAAUGGACGCAAGUCUGAACCAGCCAUGCCGCGUGAAGGAUGAAGGUCCUCUGGAUUGUAAACUUCUUUUAUCUGGGACGAAAACGGGAUUUUUAUCUCAAUUGACGGUACCAGAGGAAUAAGCACCGGCUAACUCCGUGCCAGCAGCCGCGGUAAUACGGAGGGUGCGAGCGUUAUCCGGAUUUACUGGGUUUAAAGGGUGCGUAGGUGGGCUUAUAAGUCAGUGGUGAAAUCUCCGAGCUUAACUCGGAAACUGCCGUUGAUACUAUAGGUCUUGAAUUAUCUGGAGGUAAGCGGAGUAUGUCAUGUAGCGGUGAAAUGCUUAGAUAUGACAUAGAACACCAAUUGCGAAGGCAGCUUACUACAUAUAAAUUGACGCUGAGGCACGAAAGCGUGGGGAUCAAAC